UGACACUCUUCUACUUUAGCUAUGGCACA
Molecule: non-coding RNA, 29 nt
Filed under: Mus musculus (house mouse)
Lineage: Eukaryota; Metazoa; Chordata; Mammalia; Rodentia; Muridae
Source: RNAcentral